Molecule: ribosomal RNA, 423 nt
Filed under: uncultured bacterium
Lineage: Bacteria
Description: bacterial SSU rRNA
Rfam family: Bacterial small subunit ribosomal RNA
Source: RNAcentral
UAAGGAAUAUUGGUCAAUGGACGCAAGUCUGAACCAGCCAUGCCGCGUGGAGGAUGAAGGUCCUCUGGAUUGUAAACUUCUUUUAUUUGGGAAGAAAUCCAUGAAUUCUUUCGUGGUUGACGGUACCAGAUGAAUAAGCACCGGCUAACUCCGUGCCAGCAGCCGCGGUAAUACGGAGGGUGCAAGCGUUAUCCGGAUUUACUGGGUUUAAAGGGUGUGUGGGCGGAUAGGUAAGUCAGUGGUGAAAUCCUGCAGCUUAACUGCAGAACUGCCGUUGAUACUAUCUAUCUUGAAUGCCGUAGAGGUUAGCGGAAUAUGUCAUGUAGCGGUGAAAUGCUUAGAGAUGACAUAGAACACCAAUUGCGAAGGCAGCUAACUAUACGGUGAUUGACGCUGAUGCACGAAAGCGUGGGGAUCAAACAG